This 398-nucleotide long non-coding RNA is filed under the name Phoenix dactylifera (date palm). Its description in RNAcentral is "long non-coding RNA (PDAC_LNC000354)". Lineage: Eukaryota; Viridiplantae; Streptophyta; Magnoliopsida; Arecales; Arecaceae. The record is from RNAcentral.
AACAAUGGUAAAUCCUUCUGGCUUUUAAUGUAACAGAGUGAUGUAGAAGGAUGUAAAACUAAGGUAUAUGAUGUUAAGAGUGAUAAUGGUAAAUGCAAUUUCGUAAGAUGUAAAAGAGUGGCAUAUUACUUAAUUACGUAUGCAUGAGAUCUAAAACUAAGAUACAUAGAUGAAAGCUAGCAUGUCUAAGAGCUUGUUUGGAUAAUUAAGAAUCUAACCCUUCUCUUCUUCUCCUCCUCCUUUUCCUGUGACUGGCCACGAGUUACAAGCCUUCUCUUUGUUCAGCUCUGAGGGCUAAAUAAAAGUAUGGUGACCAAUAUAUAAUUUUUCUCUUUGAUGAAAAAUGGUGUCCAUAUAGUUAAGUUGCAUAUAUAUUAUUUGGGAACACAUAAAAGUGG